Molecule: long non-coding RNA, 297 nt
Organism: Scleropages formosus (Asian bonytongue)
Lineage: Eukaryota; Metazoa; Chordata; Actinopteri; Osteoglossiformes; Osteoglossidae
Exons: 3
Source: RefSeq, a predicted model, not a curated record
AACGUCGCAUUCACUCGGAUUUGGAUCCUGUUUCCAAAAUGAGGAUCUUUCAAGUAGUUCUGACGCUUUCCGCAUUUACUUUGGUCUCUGCAGCAUGGGAAGGAGAGACCAGAGUGGAAGAACUUUGCCGGGAGCGAAACGAAGCGGGAAAAGAUGCAUUCAAAGCUAUGGUAAUUGCUCUGUACAGUCAGAGGUUUGCCAAUGGUACAUUUGAAGAAAUCAGUGCCACUUCUGACCACAUUCUUAAAAUAUUGGAAAAGUGUUGUUCCCCUGAUGCUAAUCCAGGUUGUUAUGAGA